This 873-nucleotide long non-coding RNA is filed under the name Anser cygnoides (Swan goose). RNAcentral's name for it is "lncRNA (ENSACDG00005015909.1)". The record is from RNAcentral. Lineage: Eukaryota; Metazoa; Chordata; Aves; Anseriformes; Anatidae.
GGAGCCCAGCUCCCAAAAUCCACUCAGCAGCCACACCAGUGGGGAUUGUCAGACAUCGCACCUCAGGGAGGGAGGGACGUGGUGCUGAGGGGCGCUGAGGGGAACCCUACGGCUCCCGAACCGGGGCGUGACGGGAGAGGGGCGCUGAGGGGAACCGGUGCCCGGGGUCCCACUGCUCAGGGCGAGGGUUUUUUGAGGUGCCCUCCAGCCGAGGAAGGAGGGGGGCGACCGAAACCAAACACAGCUAGCCCCGCGACCCCCGCGGGCUCGCCCUGCGCCACAGCCGGAUCCCGGCGUGUGCCGGGGCCGGGGCCGGUCGGAGCGGCGCUCCCGCUCCCACUUCGCCUUGGCAGGGCACCGCCAUCAGACGGAGUGGGAGGAAGGAACAUUAACUCCAGCAGCUGUUUCUUGACCCCGGCUGUCAGCCUGCCCGAGAACACAUCAUCUGUGACCAGAAAGCACGCAGGCAUACCUGCACCACUGUCCUCAUCUGUGCCGAGAAGCCCUAAGAGAUGGAAAGCUUUGGCUGGCAAAGUGCUGAUCAUUAGUGCAGCUUGUGCUCAGGAAGUGCUCAAAGGACACGUGUACCUUUCACUGAAUGAUUAUGUUCUGGAGAAUAGGAGUGGGAGUUCCUGUAAUAGUUUGUCCAGUGUAUGCUUCUGUCUGUGCCAGCUUUGGGGGGCAGAUGAGACAGCAGUGACAGUGUCUCAGCACAAGCUUCUAGGUCUGAACUACAGAGGAAAGGAUGCUGGUAGUGGCUGUGCAAUCCUCUAUCUGAAAGUCCUGAGGCAGGAUUUGGAGUAUGUUUCAGUUGAUACCUCUGCAGGAUCUGUUAAGAAUGCAGCGUUUACUGAUACAAACCUCACUGGAUGA